Molecule: non-coding RNA, 223 nt
Organism: Pelobates cultripes (western spadefoot toad)
Lineage: Eukaryota; Metazoa; Chordata; Amphibia; Anura; Pelobatidae
Source: the annotation of a GenBank genome assembly
AUUUGAGUCUGUGUUGGUCUCCAGUAGCUGCCGACCCCGGAGCGGGCGCAGCCCCCCCCCAUGCGGGCCCGCCGCCACAACUCUUUUGGUCACAUAGUCCAUGCAUGGGUACCAGGUCAGCGCACAUUUGUCUGUUCGUCCCUGCAGGGAGGCCGUCAUCAUCUCCAUAUUGUAGAUGUCUUCCACCCUGGCGAUCCAUUGCCCCAGGGAGGGUACUGUUGUG